Molecule: ribosomal RNA, 495 nt
Filed under: uncultured bacterium
Lineage: Bacteria
Description: partial 16S ribosomal RNA
Rfam family: Bacterial small subunit ribosomal RNA
Source: RNAcentral
GACGAACGCUGGCGGCGUGCCUAAUACAUGCGAGUCGAACGCUGAAGGAGGAGCUUGCUUCUCUGGAUGAGUUGCGAACGGGUGAGUAACGCGUAGGUAACCUGCCUGGUAGCGGGGGAUAACUAUUGGAAACGAUAGCUAAUACCGCAUAAGAGUAGAUGUUGCAUGACAUUUGCUUAAAAGGUGCAAUUGCAUCACUACCAGAUGGACCUGCGUUGUAUUAGCUAGUUGGUGAGGUAACGGCUCACCAAGGCGACGAUACAUAGCCGACCUGAGAGGGUGAGCGGCCACACUGGGACUGAGACACGGCCCAGACGCCUACGGGAGGCAGCAGUAGGGAAUCUUCGGCAAUGGACGGAAGUCUGACCGAGCAACGCCGCGUGAGGGAAGAAGGUUGUCGGAUCGUAAAGCUCUGUUGUAAGAGAAGAACGAGUGUGAGAGUGGAAAGUUCACACUGUGACGGUAGCUUACCAGAAAGGGACGGCUAACUACGUG